Molecule: long non-coding RNA, 494 nt
Filed under: Homo sapiens (human)
Lineage: Eukaryota; Metazoa; Chordata; Mammalia; Primates; Hominidae
Description: non-protein coding lnc-USP16-9:2
Source: RNAcentral
ACUCCGCACUCUUAGGCUGCGUGUGAGGCCUGCGAGUGCUCGGGAGCUGCCGCGGUCACAAGAGAAAGCCUAGCUGUCAAUGACAGCCCCAGAGCAUCUGGGCGCCUUGCGAUACCCGGGUGUCUGUAGGCAGCCAGGAGACACUUCCAAGCUGAUCUGGAAUCUUUCCUCGCCCAGCUCUGUCCCUCGCAGGGAUGGCAAAGGACAUUACGACCUACAUCCCUUCCCGGAUCUGAUGGCUUCAGAUUGGCAGAUUGUGUUAAAGUGGAAGGCUCGUGGUGCCCCUUUGCUGAGUUUUUAUGGACUUAGUUUUCCCAAGUAGUUCUAAUUAUCGCUGGGGGGGUGGGGUGGGGCGGGAACGUAAUUUCUGCGUCUGCCCUUAAAUACCUUUAAACCUUGGCUGCAUUGCCGCUUUUAUGGAAUUUCACCCAUAGUCUGUCUUUUUUAGUUUCCCUGAUACGCAUCUUUCUUAAUAAUAAUAAUAAUAAAUAAAU